UGGGGAAUAUUGGGCAAUGGGCGCAAGCCUGACCCAGCAACGCCGCGUGAAGGAAGAAGGCUUUCGGGUUGUAAAACUUCUUUUCUCAGGGACGAAGCAAGUGACGGUACCUGAGGAAUAAGCCACGGCUAACUACGUGCCAGCAGCCGCGUAAUCUCGAUCU
RNAcentral lists this ribosomal RNA (163 nucleotides) under uncultured bacterium. Its description in RNAcentral is "partial 16S ribosomal RNA". It matches the Rfam family "Bacterial small subunit ribosomal RNA", at positions 355 to 532 of the family's 1533-position model. The record is from RNAcentral.